AGUGAACGCUGGCGGUAGGCCUAACACAUGCAAGUCGAACGGCAGCACAGUAAGAGCUUGCUCUUACGGGUGGCGCGUGGCGGACGGGUGAGGAAUACAUCGGAAUCUACUUUUUCGUGGGGGAUAACGUAGGGAAACUUACGCUAAUACCGCAUACUACCUACGGGUGAAAGCAUGGGAUCUUCGGACCUUGCGCGAUUGAAUGAGCCGAUGUCGGAUUAGCUAGUUGGCGGGGUAAAGGCCCACCAAGGCGACGAUCCGUAGCUGGUCUGAGAGGAUGAUCAGCCACACUGGAACUGAGACACGGUCCAGACUCCUACGGGAGGCAGCAGUGGGGAAUAUUCGACAAUGGGCGCAAGCCUGAUCCAGCAACACCGCGUGAGUGAAGAAGGCCUUCGGGUUGUAAAGCCCUUUUAUUGGGAAAGAAAAGCAGCGGGUUAAUACCCCGCUGUUCUGACGGUACCCAAAGAAUAAGCACCGGCUAACUUCGUG
This 492-nucleotide ribosomal RNA is filed under the name uncultured bacterium. RNAcentral's name for it is "partial 16S ribosomal RNA". It matches the Rfam family "Bacterial small subunit ribosomal RNA", at positions 29 to 507 of the family's 1533-position model. The record is from RNAcentral.